CCUACGGGAGGCAGCAGUGGGGAAUAUUGGACAAUGGGCGCAAGCCUGAUCCAGCCAUGCCGCGUGAGUGAUGAAGGCCUUAGGGUUGUAAAGCUCUUUUAUCCGGGACGAUAAUGACGGUACCGGAGGAAUAAGCCCCGGCUAACUUCGUGCCAGCAGCCGCGGUAAUACGAAGGGGGCUAGCGUUGCUCGGAAUCACUGGGCGUAAAGGGCGCGUAGGCGGCGUUUUAAGUCGGGGGUGAAAGCCUGUGGCUCAACCAAAGAAGGGCCUUCGAUACUGGGACGCAUGAGUAUGGUAGAGGUUGGGGGAACUGCGAGUGUAGAGGUGAAAUUCGUAGAUAUUCGCAAGAACACCGGUGGCGAAGGCGGCCAACGGGAC
This 379-nucleotide ribosomal RNA is filed under the name uncultured Methylobacteriaceae bacterium. RNAcentral's name for it is "partial 16S ribosomal RNA". It matches the Rfam family "Bacterial small subunit ribosomal RNA", at positions 338 to 734 of the family's 1533-position model. Lineage: Bacteria; Pseudomonadati; Pseudomonadota; Alphaproteobacteria; Hyphomicrobiales; Methylobacteriaceae. The record is from RNAcentral.